Molecule: ribosomal RNA, 478 nt
Filed under: uncultured bacterium
Lineage: Bacteria
Description: partial 16S ribosomal RNA
Rfam family: Bacterial small subunit ribosomal RNA
Source: RNAcentral
GACGAACGCUGGCGGCGUGCUUAACACAUGCAAGUCGAACGGUAAGGCCCUUCGGGGUACACGAGUGGCGAACGGGUGAGUAACACGUGGGUGAUCUGCCCUGCACUUCGGGAUAAGCCUGGGAAACUGGGUCUAAUACCGGAUAGGACUCCUGGCUUCAUGGUUGGGGGUGGAAAGCUUUUGCGGUGUGGGAUGGGCCCGCGGCCUAUCAGCUUGUUGGUGGGGUAAUGGCCUACCAAGGCGACGACGGGGAGCCGGCCUGAGAGGGUGACCGGUCACACUGGGGCUGAGAUACGGCCCAGACUCCUACGGGAGGCAGCAGUGGGGAAUAUUGCACAAUGGGCGCAAGCCUGAUGCAGCGACGCCGCGUGAGGGAUGACGGCCUUCGGGUUGUAAACCUCUUUCAGCUAUGACGAAGCGCAAGUGACGGUAGUAGCAGAAGAAGGACCGGCCAACUACGUGCCAGCCGCCGCGGUAA